RNAcentral lists this ribosomal RNA (273 nucleotides) under uncultured bacterium. Its description in RNAcentral is "partial 16S ribosomal RNA". It matches the Rfam family "Bacterial small subunit ribosomal RNA", at positions 524 to 796 of the family's 1533-position model. The record is from RNAcentral.
UACGUAGGGGGCAAGCGUUGUUCGGAUUUACUGGGCGUAAAGGGCGCGUAGGCGGCGUGACAAGUCACUUGUGAAAUCUCCGGGCUUAACUCGGAACGGCCAAGUGAUACUGUCGUGCUAGAGUACAGAAGGGGCAAUCGGAAUUCUUGGUGUAGCGGUGAAAUGCGUAGAUAUCAAGAGGAACACCUGAGGUGAAGACGGGUUGCUGGGCUGAUACUGACGCUGAGGCGCGAAAGCUAGGGUAGCAAACGGGAUUAGAAACCCGUGUAGUCC